This 84-nucleotide ribosomal RNA is filed under the name Bacteroidales bacterium. Lineage: Bacteria; Pseudomonadati; Bacteroidota; Bacteroidia; Bacteroidales. The record is from RNAcentral.
UCUUCCCAUCCCGAACAGAGAAGUUAAGCCCGUUAGCGCCGAUGGUACUGCUAUACCAAGUGGGAGAGUAGGUAGCCGCCAACU